UACGAAGGGGGCUAGCGUUGUUCGGAAUUACUGGGCGUAAAGCGCGCGCAGGCGGCUAUCCAAGUCAGUGGUGAAAGCCCGGAGCUCAACUCCGGAACUGCCAUUGAAACUGUUUAGCUUGAGUAUGAGAGAGGUGAGUGGAAUUCCCAGUGUAGAGGUGAAAUUCGUAGAUAUUGGGAAGAACACCGGUGGCGAAGGCGGCUCACUGGCUCAUUACUGACGCUCAGGCGCGACAGCGUGGGGAUCAAACAGGAUUAGAUACCCUGGUAGUCCACGCCGUAAACGAUGAAUGCUAGCCGUUGGGCAGCUUGCUGUUCAGUGGCGCAGCUAACGCAUUAAGCAUUCCGCCUGGGGAGUACGGCCGCAAGGUUGAAACUCAAAG
RNAcentral lists this ribosomal RNA (382 nucleotides) under uncultured bacterium. RNAcentral's name for it is "bacterial SSU rRNA". It matches the Rfam family "Bacterial small subunit ribosomal RNA", at positions 524 to 906 of the family's 1533-position model. The record is from RNAcentral.